GACAGUUUGGCCGAGUGGUCUAAGGCGCCAGAUUUAGGCUUUGAUCCGAAAGGGCGUGGGUUCAAAUCCCACAGCUGUCA
Molecule: non-coding RNA, 80 nt
Organism: Glycine soja
Lineage: Eukaryota; Viridiplantae; Streptophyta; Magnoliopsida; Fabales; Fabaceae
Source: Rfam